UUAAGAAUCUUGCGCAAUGGGCGCAAGCCUGACGCAGCGACGCCGCGUGGACGAUGAAGGCCUUCGGGUUGUAAAGUCCGUUAAGCAGGGAAGAAUAAGCAACGGGAAAUAUUCGUUGUGAUGACGGUACCUGCCUAAAGCCCCGGCUAACUACGUGCCAGCAGCCGCGGUAAUACGUAUGGGGCGAGCGUUGUUCGGAAUUAUUGGGCGUAAAGGGCGUCUAGGCGGGGGAUUAAGUUAGUUGUGAAAUCCAUGGGCUCAACCCAUGAACUGCAUCUAAAACUGAUUCUCUUGAGUUCUGGAGAGGAGAGCGGAAUUCCCGGUGUAGCGGUGAAAUGCGUAGAUAUCGGGAAGAACACCAGUGGCGAAGGCGGCUCUCUGGCCAAGAACUGACGCUGAAGCGCGAAAGCGUGGGGAGCGAACGGG
This 426-nucleotide ribosomal RNA is filed under the name uncultured bacterium. RNAcentral describes it as "bacterial SSU rRNA". It matches the Rfam family "Bacterial small subunit ribosomal RNA", at positions 355 to 776 of the family's 1533-position model. The record is from RNAcentral.